Molecule: ribosomal RNA, 367 nt
Filed under: Gluconobacter cerinus
Lineage: Bacteria; Pseudomonadati; Pseudomonadota; Alphaproteobacteria; Acetobacterales; Acetobacteraceae
Description: bacterial SSU rRNA
Rfam family: Bacterial small subunit ribosomal RNA
Source: RNAcentral
GCCGCGUGUGUGAAGAAGGUCUUCGGAUUGUAAAGCACUUUCGACGGGGACGAUGAUGACGGUACCCGUAGAAGAAGCCCCGGCUAACUUCGUGCCAGCAGCCGCGGUAAUACGAAGGGGGCUAGCGUUGCUCGGAAUGACUGGGCGUAAAGGGCGCGUAGGCGGUUUAUGCAGUCAGAUGUGAAAUCCCCGGGCUUAACCUGGGAACUGCAUUUGAGACGCAUAGACUAGAGGUCGAGAGAGGGUUGUGGAAUUCCCAGUGUAGAGGUGAAAUUCGUAGAUAUUGGGAAGAACACCGGUGGCGAAGGCGGCAACCUGGCUCGAUACUGACGCUGAGGCGCGAAAGCGUGGGGAGCAAACAGGAUUA